RNAcentral lists this long non-coding RNA (3367 nucleotides) under Solanum tuberosum (potato). RNAcentral's name for it is "long non-coding RNA (STUB_LNC003875)". Lineage: Eukaryota; Viridiplantae; Streptophyta; Magnoliopsida; Solanales; Solanaceae. The record is from RNAcentral.
AGCAACCAAAUCUUUCACUCCCAAUCCCCUGUUGGCAAAGCUCUGAAUGAGUUGGCUUGUGUUGAAGGAUGGAGCAGGUAAGUUUACUGUCUCAUUGGCCCUUGACACCCUUCCAUCUUUUCUUCCUUUUAGUACAUUCCAGUAUGGACCUCCAGACUACAAAAUUGAUCAGACAUGAAGUAUUUAUGAGCUUAUGAUUACAGUUUAAUCAGUGAAUUUAACUUAUAUACACUGACAACGCCUUGCUAGCUAGUAGUAUAUUUUAACUGGUCAUAUAGUGUUAUUUACUGCUCGUGAAUUAACAAUUUAGUAGGGAGGAUGAUGAAGUAGUACCAUGGCCACAACAUCUCUAGCUGCGAUGGCAACUAUGUCAGCACAAGAAACAGUUGCUGGGCAAGCCUUUUCGAGGUUUGUUUUGACAGCAUCAAUCACAUAGAAAGCUCCAAGAGAGAGGUUAGGCGGACCAUCUUUCUCUGCUUUGUUUUCUGGUGUUGAAUCCAGUAGAACUGAUGCAUCACAUCCCUGUGAAUAAUCAUUAACAAAACAGUUUCAAUUUCCAUCUCUUGUAUGCAUCUAUAAUAUAAUGACUUGCAUUAUGCACACAAUUAAAUACAUACUCUAAUGAAACAAUCAUGGAAGAACAUCCUGAGAAUACGUGCUGGGACUUUAGGAUCAAAAAACGAAGCAUUGCGAAUUGUUUGAUAAAUAAUAUCUUCAGCAUGAGGACAUGUUUGAUCAUAGUAUUGAACUCCAAGAGUUGCACUGCAUAGAGGGACUAUUAACAAAAUAAGAAAUACGAUUGUAGAAAAAGGAGCCAUUAAUUAAGCUUAAACUGGUAUCUAAGGAUUUAAUUAAUUAAUUGCAACUUGAAAGGAAGAUGAGAUGAGAUGAUUGUGCAACAGGAUUUUGGUUAUAUAUAGCAUGGAAUGAGCAAAUAAACAAAUAGUAUUUUUGGUGUUUGGUGCAUGGAGAUAUUAAUAUGUACUUUCAAGUCACUCAAUUAGUAAAAAGAGGGAAGCCUUAGGAAAUUUGAAGCUUAUUUUGUGCUUUGAGACUAAGCAUUUCCAGCGAUGCUUUUUAUCUUGUACGAUCAACAACAUUACUAACAACUCUAAGAAUAGUACAUUCGUUUACUAGUACAAAUUUCUUUUCUUUCAAUUAUAUCUGCUUUUAUUUCACUGGGAUGAUCAAGAGUCUACAUCGCCCUUUAAGAGAUGAGUGGUCUUUUUAAUAUGGCUAGCUUGGGUAUUCCUUAUUGUUGGACUCAAAAUUCAUUUCUUUAUCAGAACAUGAAUACUCAUUCCAAUUUUCAUUUAUGAUAUUGGACUCUCAUAUAUCAAAUAUAAUUAUUCAUGCACCAGAUGUCUGGUCCUGGCGUGAGAGGGUGUGUGAAGAGUGGAUCUCACAUUGUGAUUCAUGUGUGUGUUUUUUAAGUCUGGUUUCCCAUCACCACCUCUAUUAAAUAAUAAAUGUAUUGACAUAUUAAACGAGGCAAACUAAUAAUGAUGCGCUGGAAGUUGCCUUGCAUGCAUGCUUGUUUAAAGACGGGACUUGUUGAACUGAUGAUCAUCUGAUAUAUGCAAUAUGUUUUCCCUGCAUAGUAACUCCGUAGUUACGAUGCGAAUUCGGAAUUUUGAUUUUGUAAAUUUAGAAUAAGCAUAAUCAUAUCAAAUGUAAAAAACUUUUUCUUUUUGUACAUAUAUGAAUAGUUCACGAGUGGAAAGUACUGGUGAAUCUAUAAAACUCGUCUAGGAAAAAAAAGCUUCUCCAUUAAUGUCAAGGAAUCAGGGUCGGACCAGAAAAUGAGGUAUAUAUAUAGUUCGCCAAAGUAAGUAACUUUAGUCUAGAUAAUGUAUAUAUAUAGUAAGAAAUUUUUUCUAUAUUUAUGUAUGUACAAAUUAAAUUUAGAACUCAAUUAUGAACACUUGAUAUACUAUUUACAAGGUAACUAAUAAACUAAUAAAGGUGUGUAUAUAGGUAAUUUAUCCAAAAAAAAAUAGGCAAGGGAAAGAAAAAUGAGAGAUGGGCCUCACUAACACCUCGUUUGGAUGGUUGUUACUUGCUGUAUUGUAUUGUAUUGUAUUGUUAGUUUAAAUAUAGUGUUUGUUUUGAUUAUUACUUAAAUUAUAGUGAAUCGUAUUAUUUAAAUAUCGUUAGGUAACGACGAAAAGACAAGAUGUGAUUUAGUGUGAUCGCGUUGUUAGCUUAAUAUUUUCUUCCCAUUUUUGUCUUUAUUUACUUAUUAUUUAAUAUAUUUCAUCUUUUACCGUACCUUUUCAUAUUAGCUCUACCCCGUACCUUACUUUUCUUUAAAAAAUAUAAUGUAAUACAUUAUAAAAUAAUAUAUAACAAUCAUCCAAAUAAAGUAUAAUGUGGUGAAAAUUCAAAUAAUCAAUCAACAGACAUGUAAUUAUGUGUGGAGUUUUUCUUUAACGUAAAACAUAGAACAGAGUUUUUCUCUGUUUUAGUCAAAAGAUGGAAAGAGUAAGAAGCACAUUAUAUAUAUAGAGAGAGAGAUACAUAUAUGCUAAAACAGAGGUAAUUAACGCGCCAUGGAGAAAGUUAAGAAUCCUUUUGUCUAAUAUAUAUAACAUGAGAAUAUAGUCCCAUUAAUUAAGUCUGAGGAGGAUGACGUAUACACAGUCUUAUCAAAUUGUUUCUACUUUUUCGAUGCCAUAUUAAGUGAAUUAUUGGAAUUUGGUACACCUCUUAAGAAAAAAUAUUUAACGACAUAAAUUUAAGACUAUUUUUCAAUAUUAUCCUUUGAUUAUUUUUAACUUAUUCUAUUAAAAAUGUCAUGUAAUUAAGAAUCUCAUUAAAUGAAGAAUAAAUAUACUGAGAAAGAACAAUUCUCUUAAAUUUUAAGCAAUUUCCUUAUUUUAAACUAUGAAAAAAAUCUCAGUCAUUCACUUAAUAUCGACGAGAAGAAGUAAUAGAUAACGGCCGUUAAUCUGUUUCUUUCAGGUUGGUCUAAAGCUUCAAGGCAAACAGUUGGUAAGGUACUAAGAGGUAUACACGUAUAUACAUACAUAAAAAAAAAACUUGGCUGUCCUGGAUUCAAGGGGAAGAAAGAAUGAAUAUCUACCUUAUGGUUGGAGUUUUUUGUCUUUUUCCUACCCGAUGUCUGGAAUCCGUAUUGAAGUUUCGACUAAAUUCAGAUCGUGCAUGAUCCAUUUGGAAAUGACACUCCCCACAUGAUUUUCUCCAUAUCCAGAAUUCAAAUUCAAAACCUCUGAUAAUUAUGGGUGAAACUCUUCCACCACUAAACUACUUAACUUUCCUUAUAGUUGGCGUACUUUAUAACAACAGAAGCUUUAAUUAUUGCAGGGUUUGUUAUUUUAAUGAAUUAAUUAAGAGUAUACUGUGC